GACGAACGCUGGCGGCGUGCUUAACACAUGCAAGUCGAACGGAAAGGCCCUGCUUUUGUGGGGUGCUCGAGUGGCGAACGGGUGAGUAACACGUGAGUAACCUGCCCUUGACUUUGGUAUAACUUCAGGAAACUGGGGCUACUACCGGAUAGGAGCUCCUGCUGCAUGGUGGGGGUUGGAACGUUUCGGCGGUUGGGGAUGGACUCGCGGCUUAUCAGCUUGUUGGUGGGGUAGUGGCUUACCAAGGCUUUGACCGGUAGACGGCCUGAGAGGGUGACAGGCCACAUUGGGACUGAGAGACGGCCGAGACUGCUACGGGAGGCAGCAGGGGGGAAUAUUGCACAAGGGGCGGAAGCCUGAUGCAGCAACGCCGCGUGCGGGAUGACGGCCUUCGGGUUGUAAAACGCUUUCGCCUGUGACGAAGCGUGAGUGAAGGUAAUGGGUAAAGAAGCACCGGCUAAAUACGUG
This 468-nucleotide ribosomal RNA is filed under the name uncultured bacterium. Its description in RNAcentral is "partial 16S ribosomal RNA". It matches the Rfam family "Bacterial small subunit ribosomal RNA", at positions 28 to 507 of the family's 1533-position model. The record is from RNAcentral.